AUUGUUUUAACCUAAUUACAUAUUUAAUGUACUCUUGUAAGUGGGAUAAAAUUUGAAUACUAAUAUUUUUAUGCAGACUUUAAAGUCCAGAAUGGUUAGCAAGUAAAAAAUAGGCCAAUAGUGGAGUAGAAAUUCGUAUUUUGAAGGGAAGGAAAUAAGUGCAAGAGACUGUACUUUACAAAUCAAAUAUCACUCAGAUAUUUAUGUAGGAAGAAUAUAACUAAUUUUCCGUAUUCUGAAAGGUGUUUGCUUAUGACUGCCUUCCAAAAGACUCUCUUGUCUAUAAAUACGUUCUAUUUAUGGGCCUUAAUUUUAUCUUUCAGUUAAUUAUAUCAUCUGGAAAGGGGUGAAAGAGGGGCAGGCUGUGGCAACAAAUCUAUGCCUAGUUGUUUAAUCUCAUGAAUGAGUGAGUUAAUUGCUUGUUUAACACUCCUUCUAUACUGUGCUAGCUUUGGGGAUUAUAACAGGUGAAUAGGAUGGUCUCUGCUCUCAAGGAACUCAGUGUAAUUGGAACAGACAAACCAUUAGGGCAUUAUUAUGAUAGGACUAAGUGUUACAGUAGAGAACCACAGCAUUUUAUGGGUGCUCAUAGUAGAGUCAGGAAACCUCUCAGAAGAGGCCAUGUUUCAUUUGAGUUUCAGUGCAUUCAGGAGUAUUUGGGUGAGUGUGGAAUGAAAGCAGGUAGUGCGAGCAGCUGAAACAACUUAGACAAAAGAGCAUUCACAAGGGAAGGUAAAUCUGAUAUGAUAUUUGCAGGAGGAGCCAUCCAGGUGAAGAGUUGAAGGGAAGACAAAGAAAGUGUUUCAGUAAGUGUAGAAUGUUUGAAUGCAAAAAGUGAGAGAGAAUUUGGGUCUCUGUAGAUCAACAAUUUAUAAUAUUAGAAUAUAAGGGUAGAGAUUCAGACAUCUUGAUGGGAGACUAGUCUAUAGAGGUAAGUAGGUGUUCAAUGACGGGUGCUGUAUUAGAGGAUAGAGCUGUACUAAGGUUUUCUUAGUUAAUGUGAAGGUCACAGGAAGUCACAGAAUACUUUUGAAAUGAGAAUGACACAACUGAAGCUUUGCUUUGGAAAAAUCAACUCUGGUUGUAGUGUGAAGAAUGGAUUGGAGUGCAACAAGACCUAGGCAGGAAGAUGUGACCUGAUCUAAGAGAUAAAGGGUGACAUCCAAGACUGAGAUUCGUUACAGUGAGGAUGCAGUAAAGGGAAGAUUAGAUAUUAUAAAGAGAGACAUUUGAUAGGGUUACAGACUAUAUGUGGGAAGUGUGGGAGAAAGAAAUGUUAAAGAUGAGUCCAAACUGUCUGGUCUGGGUGGCCGGGUGAAAGGAAAUCUUUGCACUGAGUUAAGAAAUCCAGAAAAAAGGGACAGGAAUAAAUAGGAAGACAAUGAUUCCUGCCCUGCAUUUAGUAAGAGGCACCUGUCAGAUAUCCACUUGGAGAUGUAUAGGAUAAAGUAAAAUAAAUAAUUGAUGAAUACAUUUUAGCUGCUCCUGCCACACACAUGCACAAAAGGGUAACUAUGUGAGAUGAUGAAUGUGUUAAUUUGCUUCACCAUAGUAACUAAUUUAGUAGUUAUGGAUAGCCCAUUAUAUCAUACUGUAUACAUUAAAUAUACACAAUAAAAUUUAUUUAAAAGAAAAUAGUGGUAUGCUACCCAAAUUAGGUACCAUAAUGUUUUUCACUGGCAUUAAAGUUAAGAUGAUAUGUAUUUCUUAAUGAAAAAUAGUGGAAAGCAAUGUUACAAUAAAAAUGCAGUUAAUUUAAUUAUGAAAUAGAGAUCUGAGACUCAUUAACUUUUAGGUGGUAGGUGAAUUCAUGGGAACUCAUGUCAUCAUCUAAAGACAAAAUGCAGAAGGCCAUACAUGGAGCCCAGGCAAUACCAUCAUUUAGAAGAAAAGCAAGGAGCAGCAUUAAAAGAGUCUGAGGAUGAAAUUCUCCCCACUCUACCUCUGGAUCAGAACAUCUUUAUCAUAGUUAUCCUUCAUCUGCUGCAGGUUGCCCUGAAGCUGAGAUAUGUGUAGUCCUAGACUAGAAGAUGAGAUUCAGCUGAGACCAAGGGCUCAGUUGCAGAAAUAAGUGAUCAUGAGGCUGUGAAAUCCUAAUAACAAACUGAAAUCCUUGAAAGACUACUGGACUACUAGAAAUAGAAACCAGUCUUACAUAGUGAAAUCUCAAAGAAAAGGCCAAACCAAGGUGACAGCAAAGUUACACCAUAGACUUAGAUUUGUUUACUUUAUCAACUAUAAAAAUGUUAAGGAUAUUGUAAUAGUUCAGCUUAUGUAUAUAAUUUGGAAGUUAUGAUGUUUAAACCUUCAUACAUUGGAGAAGAGGCAUCAGCAAAAUGAGGUGGUAUCCAAUAUAUCCAACCUUUGAUGAUUCACUAAAAAAUAAUUCACUUUUUUCUGGCUAGAAUUGAAGAUCUGGUGAGUACCAGAGACCAUCUCUUUCCUCUAUGCUUGACUUUCAUCAAAGGAGGUAAAAAAGCCUCAUGGACACAACUUGAGAUGGUGGACACUGAACCUUGCCAUUUCCAAAAGAAGUUAAAGAAACUGCACCCAGUGAACAAGAACUAGCCUUUCAUCAUUCCGUAGGUAUUUACUGAUGGCUCCCUUAAGGCCCAACUGAAACGUAGACGGAGAUGAUGUUACUAGCCGAGCGUUAUUGAAGAUUUAGUCCAUGCCAGUCUCUGUACUAAGGACUUAACCUCCCUUUCCUUAUUUGCUCCUCAUUGCCCCAUGGAAUAGAUAUAUUAGUGUUGUUUAGAUAUGAAGAAACAAAGGCAGAAAGAGUGAAAACUGAUGAUCUGUACUCCACUCCAAGUAUAUUUUAUUAGAUCCUUACAUCUUCCAACACCCUCGGGAAGUAGAAGACCAUUGCUAUGGCACACAGUUUGUCUUCUCCUUACUUUUAAAAGCUCUUUGGUGGACAUAAAAGAGGUGUGGGAGAUGUUAUUUCCUCUAGUUUCGCCCCACUUUUAAUCUGGAAAUGGAGGCAGACACUGGAGAAGCCCAGGCUCUGUGGGUUCAUAGAAAUGGAUGCUAUUCAGAUGUAAGCUAUAUGGUUUCUCAGGAAAUAAAAUGAAGUUCUAAUAAAAUGUACUGAAAAGUGAUUAUAUGGCACUAAUAAUGUGGGACUGUCUGAAAGGAGAAACCUGCUUCUGAAAGAACGGCUUCUCCCUUUCCCUCCCUUUGAAGUGAUUUCAGCUGUCCAGAGCUGCCUGAAGGAAAUCCAUCAUAGAAAAGAAAGAAUAGUCCUUUAGUCCUAUUCUAACCCUCCCCCUUCGUUUUAUGUUCCCCUAAUACUUGCCCCUCCUGCAACCUCAUCAUUGCUUUAUGGCUGACUGGUGAAGGGAAAAGCUAUUCCUAGCACAGCAGAUGUAGGAAGCCCCAGCCAGAUGAGCCCUGGAACUGGCAGUAAGUUUGGUUUGGUAAUAAGGAAACAGCUCAAGAGAAGCAUGGGAAAGGGGCAUUGAAUCGUUCACUGAGAAACAUUAUCCAACAGUUGUGAGAUAAAUCUUGAAAGAGAGAAAGAGGGAAAAAGGUGAAUAUGAGAUGAAGGAAAGGGAAGAAAGAGAGGGAGAGGAAGAGGGGAGACAAAGUAAUUUUGCUUCAAAGGGCCUGCAAAUUCUGGAGGUAUAUAAAUCCUAUUUGGUUCUGUAAUAUGAAUAUGAAAAUGUUACACAUCAGCCCCUUAAAUUUAUGCUAAAGUGACUGUAUUCUUUUUAUUUUUAUAGCUAUUAAGUCUUGCACAUUAAGAGGGUAUGCUUUCCUGAUUAUACCGUGACUAGGCAUAAGAAUGGGAAUUAUUUUCUCUGGAGUUUUUUAUGAGACAGCACCCUAUUCUUAAAGAAAUUUGCAUACAUUUGAAGCACUGGUAUACUGGUGUGGUGUCCUGUCUUUCUGUUUAUGGCACCAAACACUGCCAACUCUGUCCAAGACUAAGAAUGGGAGAAAGGAUUGGAAAUAAAAGGAAAUAAAUGGAAGUUUUAAAAAUGCUUGAAGAAACAAAUAUAAAAGAGAAAAAGAAACCAGAAUCAUAAAAGAUAAAGAUUUACAAGAAGGCAUUAGAAACCCAGAGUAGUACAGCUAUAAAGGCCCAUGCUUGUUACUUAGUACUAUAGCUGUCAAAAAUGCUUCCAGUAGGGGGAAGUUCAGUAUAUCACCAGACAGCUCAUUUUAUUUCUGAAGCGUUUACUAAUAGAAGGUUCUCAUUUGGAUUAAUUCAGGUUCUUCUUGUCUGGAAUCUUAAUAAAUCUGGAAUCUCUUCUAUGUUAAUGUUCUUCAAAUAUGUGAAGACAGUUACCACGUUUCCGAGUCGUCUCAGUUAUUUCAGCCAAUCCUCAUGCUCUCUGGUUGCCAGAUCUCCUUGGCACACACUUCAGUGUGUCAGUGUCCCUCUUACAAUCUGGCACUUUGAAUUGAACAUAAUCCUUCAGAUGUGGUCUGGACAGUGUAAAGUUCAAUGGGACUACUCCCUUUCUUGAUUUGAAGUCAACACUUUAUUAAGACUCACACGAGCUUAUUUGGCAGCACGUCAUACUGUUGGCACACGGUGAACUUGUAGGCAGCUAAAACCCCAAGUUAUUUUUUUUUCCAUAUUCACUAUUCUUAAGCCAGUUGUCCUCUGUCUUGUAGAAGAGGAGUUUACUUUAUGAAUCUACAGAGAGAAUGUUUUGUUUCUUGAUGCUUUCUCUCAUUGUUCCUGCUCUUUAAAGAUCUAGAAGAUAUUUAAUUUUGUCCUUCAAUAUGUUAGCUAUCCCUCCUGUUAAUUUUGGUGAAUAAUGUGUCGUCAUCUGAAUCAUGUGUUCAAGAGUUUGAGGAGACAGAAAUAACUUAGAACAAAGCCUUAUCAAUUGUUAUUGAAUAACUGACCUUAGGUUAACUUUGAUUUGUUACUCAAUUCACUUUGAAUGGCACGUUCAACAUUUUACUUACCAUUCAGUUUAUUUUUUUCUGAUUAAAAGGAUUGUCUUUUCUACAAGCCUUGUUGAAACUGAGAUAUAGUAUAUGUAUAACCUCCCCAGAUUUUGCAUGCUGGAAGAAAAUCACUUUUCUUUUUCAUUUUUUAAGAGAUAGGGUCUCACUAUAUUGCCCAAGCUGGAGUGCAGUGACCAUUCACAGGUGCAUUCAGAGUGUAUGGCAGCCUUAACUCCUGGCCUCAAGCAAUCCUCUCGUCUCAGCCUCUCGAGUAGCUGGGACAUAGGCAUGCACCACUGCAAGAAAUUUAAGUGAUAUAUUUUGGGCAUGAAUUAUUUUCAAACAAUUUAAGGCCACUUCUAAUAAUCACCAAUUCCUGUAGUAACUUACUGAAUAAAAAUCAACUUCCCAGCCAACUUGAUUUUUUAAAAUCAGGGAACCAUAAUCAACCUAUUAAUUAGUUUUAUUUCUAAAAUCCAGACUUCUCUUUUUUGACAUUGAGAUACUACAUGUUUUCAGUAUUCUGGUGUCUUCAAUGCAUGCUUUAAAAUAUUUCCAUACACAUAUCAAUAUUUAAAAUAUGGCAUAUAAUGUAAUGCACUCUGGGUUCUCAAUUUAGCUAACUGUUCUUACAGUCUGUUAACCCAUGAAACCAAGCACUUCCAUACACCCUCCCUGGGUGAGGUAAUGCUGAAAGCAGUCACUAGAGGGAAAUAGAGGGCUGAAAACUAGGUACAGGAAUGGUCGACCCCUGGUUAGGAGGACCAAGAGAAGGAUAGGCUGGAGAAGGCUAGACCUCUGUAGAAAAGGUUACUCUCAGGUUUACCCCGAAAUUCCGCUUUAGAUAUGGUUCACCUAAGGACAGAGAUAGAACUGGAAUGCAAUCAAGACAGAUCAGCCAGUCAGCACUCAGUUGGAAGACACAUCAAUGACAACGUUUUUUGGAAGUUUGAUAUCAAUGCCAGAAAAUGACCUUGAAGCAGGAGUCUUGGUGUCAUGGUUGAAAUCUGUAGUCAAAGCUAAGAUCAAAAUUGCGUCAGUUCAGCAACAAUCGUUACAAUUUAUUGACUGUCUACUGUAUGUCUAGCAAUGAACCAAUAUUAUGUCCCAUUCUUGGAAUAAGCUUUGGAAAGUAAUAUUUUCCCCAUUUCACAAAAAGAAAACUGAAGAACAGGAUUUAAGAAAUUUAAGUGGCAGAACUGGGAUCUCAACAGAGAUUAGUUGAGCUGCAAGGCAUGUACUCACUAUGCUGAAAGGCUGGACAAUACCGUAUUCUGAUUCAAUAAUUAGAACUCUGGGAAGAGAGCUCUAUAAAAGCUUGAAACAAUUUUCUCCUCAACUCGAAGGCCUUCUCUCUUAGAAUUUGUGGAGAGUGGACACAUCUUCUCACUUAUCAUAGGCUUCUAUUUUCUGUAAUUUAAUUUCAUCAGUCCUUCACAGAUUUGAAGUUCAUUCUGCUUUUUUAGGAUCAUGCAAACAAAAUAUAUCCUAUUAAUACAUUUUAUUUUCUUUCAAGUCAAGGCAAAUGAAAACUUCAUAAACAUAAUGUAUGGCUUUUUAGAAGUUAUAUGUAAUGAAUACAAACUUAGUACAGUGAAAAUUCUCAGUGACAAUUUGAAUUUCCAAUAGGAUCUGCACCUCUUGGUCCAAAUAUUGGCCACAUAAACAUGGCACCAGGUCUAUCUGGUAAAAAUGCAUAUUAAGUAGUUAAGGGAGCAAAUGUUUAUAGGGGGUAAAAUAAUUUUCAGUUUUAGUAUCUGUAAAGCCAAAUAUUAGGUGAACAGGUAAAUGAAUUCGGGGAUAAAAUGAUCAGUAGCAGCAUAAUAAAAGGAUUUUAAAAGCACUGAACCUUAAAUAACUUAAUGGAAGUAAAGAGAAAGUUCAAAAAAUGAUUCACAAGAUAGCCCAGGCAAUAAGGUCCCUGAUUUCAAAGAUGUAUACAGAUGUUUGAAAAAAAUUGUCUCAAGAAAUCUGAGUUUCAAAAGGCAAUAUUUCUAAACAUACUGGAAGCAUUCUAAAACAAGCUAGAGUACUAUACUAAUAAGCAUGGUUCUUUAUAGUUUUCCUGUUCUGGGUUUCUAAUGCUUUUCUCAAGACAGAGGUAAUUAAAAUAAUAUAUUACCAUCAAAAUCCAUGUUAGGUCUUCCGAUGGGACUUCCUGUGGUUUCCUCAAGUCACCAACAUCUCACCACAUGUUUGAAUAUAGCCAUUACAUAUUUCAGUGUGUUUAAACCUAUUAACAAUGAUCUCCCUCCUGUUUGUCUUCUUCCUCCAGAACAUAUACAAAUAAAAUUUGUAUAAAAUUUCUUCCUUGAACUUAAUAGAUAAUGUUUUCUUAGCAGAUUUCUCUGGUCGAAAAAACGUAAUUUGCGAGGAAUGUGAAAUAGAAAACAACUUCAGGUUUAUAGACUAGAGACCCAUAAUUCAUAUUAUUUGUUCGAGUUUUCACCUUUUCUGAAAAUACAGAUUUUAAAUACUUGAAAAAAUAAAUGGGAUGUUUGUUUUAAAUUCUGCCUCAAUCCAAAUACUUGGAAAGCCCUGUAUUUAAAAAACUUGAAAUUUCAUUCUAAUUUUAUUUAAGGUUAAACAUAGAAGUGUCCUUUGAAAGUUCACAUCUAUCUCCCUUAACUUGGGCUGCACAAAUUUUCCCAAAGAUGUACAUAGUUAUUAUGGCAUGUUUUGGUGCACAAGUAACCAAUUGGUGAUAAUUUAUCUCAUAGCAACAGGAUAGAUGAGCCCAGCUCACACUGGGCACUAAUUGAACAAUGUCCUACUUGCUGAAAAUGGAAACUUAUAGAAGUUAGGCUGUUUCUAAAAUGUCUAUGGGCAUUCUAAACCUAUAGUCUGAGCCAGAGGUCUGGAAGCUCUUAGAGAUGAUAUUUAUUUUUUCUAAUAUAGUCAUAUCUUUCCCUUUGCUGUUUUCUUUGCACUUAUCUGUCUUGUCUUAUUUUGGUUCCUUCUGUCCCUGCCGUAAACAGAAGUAUGUUCUUUGUUCUCCCUCUCAAUUUCUUGACUUUUCUUUUCUUUUUUUCUUUUUUUUUUUUUUGAGCAUAUGUGAGCAUACAGCAUCUGUUUCCAAGCCUAUGCCAGAUGGAUGAAAAUAAUUAUUGGAGAAAUCUGAGAAAAGGAAGAUCAAGGCACUUUUAACAUCAGCAGAAGAUAAUGAAAGGGUAGAACAAAAACUGAAAACCAGAGACACUGUCAGGAGUAAAGUAAAGUCACUUCUCAGAGUUUCCAUAGAUCCAAUGGCACUGCCAUAAAUCUACAUUGAGGAAGUCCAUUAGCAGUUAUUGCAGAUACACUUACCUUCUCCUCACCCCAAAUUCUAAAUAAAAUAUAUUAAAAUGAAUGGACAGAUUGGUUAUUAUUUAAAUAUUAACCCUGUUUGCCAGCUUCUUUUAGGUCGUAAAUUUACAUGGACUCAUGGUAAUCCAAAUGACUGUAUAAUCAGGAUAUUUAGGAAAAAAAAAGAAUCAGUGGCAAUACUCAAGCCCAGGUUCCAUGCCAUCUGCAGGGGCUGUGCCAUAGUUUUUAUUAUAAAAGCAGCUACUAUUAGGAUGCCGUCGGACUGGUUUUUCCAAGCACCAAAUCCAUAUGGGUAGAACUCAAUAAAUACCAUGCAAAUAAUAAUUACUAACAUCUGUAGAGUGCUUUCCAGUCUACAUGUUGCUUUGUUUAACCUUCAUAACUGUUAUAAUCCUCAUUUAUAGCUCAGGAAACCAAGGCUUAGGGAGGUAAAGUGAUCUAGUUAAGAGCAUACAGCAUAAAACAGUGUUUUAAACCAUAAAUUUCAACUCUAAAAUGAAGUUUUUUGAUUCCAAAUCCAGAGCUUCUGCUACCUUGUGGUGCCUCUCUGAAAAUGUUUUAACAACCAUAAUGUUAUGAUUAUACCUUUUAAUGUAAUUUUUAGAAAAUGUUGCCCUUCAAUAUCUUCCAGCCACAGUAGCUAAUAUUUUAUGAGAUCAUAGUUCUGAGUUAUUUGUAAUAUGGAAACUGAACAUUGGAAAACAUUAUUGAAAUCUAUUUAAAAACUGUUAUUUGGUUCAUUUGUGAACCUCAA
Molecule: long non-coding RNA, 8971 nt
Organism: Cercocebus atys (sooty mangabey)
Lineage: Eukaryota; Metazoa; Chordata; Mammalia; Primates; Cercopithecidae
Exons: 5
Source: RefSeq, a predicted model, not a curated record